This 2514-nucleotide long non-coding RNA is filed under the name Pan troglodytes (chimpanzee). Its description in RNAcentral is "long non-coding RNA NONPTRT016794". Lineage: Eukaryota; Metazoa; Chordata; Mammalia; Primates; Hominidae. The record is from RNAcentral.
GAACUUAAAUCCCCUGCAUGCUCAUCAGAGGAGGCUCCAUAGAAGAUCAUGGACCUUGAACAAGGUGCAAGUAAGCCUAGAUGCAAUGCAAUGGAUUAGGGAUUCCAGGCUUGAAAACCAGUGGGAAGGAAGGGGUCAGGUGGGAGUGGUCCUCAGUUCCUGUGUGGGCUCUGGCAUCAGGCAGCACACAGGAGUCUUCCCUGCUGGUGGGGAGAGAAAGAGGCAGUAGAAGGGGUCCCGAGCUGGAAGGAUCAGCAGCCACUGCAGACUACUGAUGGAGGCAGUGCCAGGGAGGAAGAGGGUCGUGCCUAGUGGUGUCCAGGCAUUGGCAUGCAGGAGGCAGUCCAGGCACUAGUACCUGGGAGAGUUAAAACUGGGGGAAGGGAAGACAGCAGGGGAUUCUCACAAGGAAUGUGGAGCAGAGGCCCAGGCAGGGGGCCAUCAAGGUGGAGAGGACUGAACCUGGAAAUGGAAGCUUUCCAAGUCACACAUUGAAGAGUAUCAGCAAGGUCUUAAGCCCUGGAACAGUGAGGGAUGGCAUCAGGACAAACUGAGGUCAGUGAGUGUGUUAGCAGCAGACCAGGCUCCGAACGGCACAAACUCCGUCUGGGAUGGUGAAUCUAGCAGAAGACCUAGGAAGAAUUUGAAGAGGGUUCAGAGGUGAAUUAGGGAUGCUUGCAGCUUUUGUGUGGGCAGUGCGUUACUGGGGUGUAGUCCUCAUUGAAGGCCCAAGAUUCUGCCUCUAAGGGUGUAACUCUGCUGAAUCCAGCACCUGAGAGGCUGUCCAGAGCAGGCAGGAGGUCAGCUGUCAGUCUGUGGGCCCGGUUUUAGAGUCAAAGUGAAUUUCCAGUGGGGAAGACCAAAGCUGAAGUCCAUCCCCCAGAGGAUGAGAGAAAGGAAGGCUGCAGCUCAGGCAGCUCAGGGAGUCUGAGGCAGCAAAUGAGCUCUGGACCUUGAAGUGGGGAGAGGAAGUCCUUUCACCUCAUCACAGUGCUCACAUCACCUCAGAAACCAGGUGGGACACACAGCUGUGACAGGUGAGAGAUGAUUCCAUUGGUGCCUGGGAUACCAGAUUCAUGCUGGGAAGUAGGAUGGAUGUGGUGGUUUGCAAAAGGCUUUGUCUGCUAAAUUGAGGAUACUGGAUCAUACCCCAAGAGAAAGGGGAGCUCCAAUGGAAAAGCCACCUGCACCAUGAUGCUGCCUGUCACUUGACUGAGCGUUCCUGCUGCCCAGAAGCUCCUGUUGUCCUCCCAACUGACGGGAUGCUCUUGGACAGUGAUGCCAGCUGGAAUUAAGACUGGGUUUCCAAGGCCACUGUGACCACCAUGAUUAAUCAAUCCCUACUGCUAGGGCUCCAACAUGCCUCAGCCAGAAAGCUGUCAUCUCUUUCCUGGGAACAUUCCUUAAGAAAGAACCAUCAUGGGGUUGGAUGAAACUAAACUUGCAAAGAAGGUGAUGUGUAACCAAGUUGGAGUGUGGAGUGUGGGGUCAAAGAUGAUGGCAUGCUGUGUGGAUCCGCCGUGGUAGAAAUGGAGGUGAGGAGGAAGAAAUGAAUCCAGGAGGCAGCGUGACAGAAAACACAGACUUUGGUGACGACAUGUGAGAAGCUGUAAACUGAUAAGAAGAAAAGACGUCUCCAGCACGUUUGGGUUAGUGUCAUCAACCCAUGGAUCCUGCCCACAGCAAGACUGGGCCCAGUCACAACCCCCUUUCUAGCAAUGUGGAGAUAAAUGCCUUCAACAGAAAGGGUUGGGAAUCCCAUGUGACAGCCGAGCUCUGUUCUGCCUUUGACAGAGUCUGAUGCGACGUGGAUCAUCUCAGGGAUGUGCCUUGCUGGCUUCACCCACCUGGAGCCUCAGGGGAAGUCUCAGGUGGGAGAUGUUAAUUUGAGAGGCCUGGGUAUAAAAGUAAUCCCAAGAUGUCACAAGAUAGAAUAAUUUCUCUGAGGCACAAACAGGGAGAAAAACAAGAACAGAACCCCUUAGCAGGACACUCAUAAUAAGAAGAAUUAGGAAAAGAAAAGGGAACCCGGGGUGACACAAAACUGGGGGAGUCUGUUACCACAAGGUAGACGGCUACCUCCAGUUGGACAAAUUUCCAUGGACCACCAUGCAAUUUCUGGAGAUGCCGCCUUUGAUCCCCUCUUCUCCCUUUGCUCCUCCCUCAUCUCCACACUCAAAGUGCACAUUAUUCAGAUGUCCAGCACGCCCCUAAAUCAACUUGACUUCUCUUGUUCCUUGGCAGAUUCAAGGACCAGCCUUCAUUGGAUUUGGGGUGGAAGCUACAUGCUUGUGUCAAGGGUUGUAAUCCCAAGUCUGGUCCUGUUUUCUGCAAACAAUAUCAUUGUAAACACAUUGAAUGUGUCUGAAUGGGAUUCACAUAACCUAUUCAAAGGUUAAUAUCACAAGACUGAUACUGAGCUGGAAGCUCUGAAAUGUACUUGUGCUCAGGGAAGAUAUUUGCUAAUGUUUGGCUUUAAUUUCCCCUGGAACUUGUACACAUCAGUGAGGCCUG